RNAcentral lists this ribosomal RNA (1350 nucleotides) under metagenome. Its description in RNAcentral is "bacterial LSU rRNA". It matches the Rfam family "Bacterial large subunit ribosomal RNA", at positions 1564 to 2925 of the family's 2925-position model. The record is from RNAcentral.
UGAGUACGAGCUGCUACGGCAGCGAAGUGGGUGAUGUCAAGCUUCCAAGAAAAGCCCUAUACCCGUUAAGGCAUGAUGGCCUGUACCCGAAACCGACACAGGUGGGGUGGUAGAGAAUACCGAGGGGCGCGAGAUAACUCUCUCUAAGGAACUCGGCAAAAUGGCCCCGUAACUUCGGGAGAAGGGGUGCCACCGCAAGGUGGUCGCAGUGAAGAGGCCCAGGCGACUGUUUACCAAAAACACAGGUCUCCGCUAAGUCGCAAGACGAUGUAUGGGGGCUGACGCCUGCCCAGUGCCGGAAGGUUAAGGAAGCUGGUCAGCGUAAGCGAAGCUAGCGACUGAAGCCCCGGUGAACGGCGGCCGUAACAAUAACGGUCCUAAGGUAGCGAAAUUCCUUGUCGGGUAAGUUCCGACCCGCACGAAAGGCGUAACGAUCUGGGCGCUGUCUCGGAGAGAGGCUCGGCGAAAUAGAAUUGUCUGUGAAGAUGCGGACUACGUGCACCCGGACAGAAAGACCCUAUGAAGCUUUACUGUAGCUUGGUAUUGUGCUCGGGCUCGGAAUGCGCAGGAUAGGUGGGAGGCUAUGAACCAUUGCUUGUGGGUGAUGGUGAGCCACUGGUGAGAUACCACUCUUUCCGAGCUAGAGUUCUAACAGCCACCCGUUAUCCGGGGGCUGGACAGUAUCAGGUGGGCAGUUUGACUGGGGCGGUCGCCUCCUAAAAGGUAACGGAGGCGCGCAAAGGUUUGCUCAGGCUGGUUGGAAAUCAGCCGACGAGUGUAAAAGCAGAAGCAAGCUUGACUGUGAGACCUACAAGUCGAACAGGGAGGAAACUCGGCUUUAGUGAUCCGACGGUUCUGCGUGGAAGGGCCGUCGCUCAACGGAUAAAAGUUACUCUAAGGAUAACAGGCUGAUCUCCCCCAAGAGUUCACAUCGACGGGGAGGUUUGGCACCUCGAUGUCGGCUCAUCGCAACCUGGGGCUGAAGUCGGUCCCAAGGGUUGGGCUGUUCGCCCAUUAAAGCGGUACGCGAGCUGGGUUCAGAACGUCGUGAGACAGUUCGGUCCAUAUCCGGUGCAUGCGCAGGAAUAUUGAGAGGAUUUCUCCCUAGUACGAGAGGACCGGGAGGAACGCACCUCUGGUGUACCAGUUAUCGUGCCAACGGUAAACGCUGGGUAGCCAUGUGCGGAGAGGAUAACCGCUGAAAGCAUCUAAGUGGGAAGCCCACCUCAAGAUGAGUAUUCCCAUGGGGUAACCCAGUAAGGUCACGGGAAGAACACCCGUUGAUAGGCUCUACGUGGAAGCGCAGUAAUGUGUGAAGCGGAGGAGUACUAAUAGACCGAGGGCUUGACC